CAGUAGCCGCGGUAAUACGAAGGGGGCUAGCGUUGUUCGGAUUUACUGGGCGUAAAGCGCACGUAGGCGGACCUUUAAGUCAGGGGUGAAAUCCCAGAGCUCAACUCUGGAACUGCCUUUGAUACUGGAAGUCUUGAGUAUGGUAGAGGUGAGUGGAAUUCCGAGUGUAGAGGUGAAAUUCGUAGAUAUUCGGAGGAACACCAGUGGCGAAGGCGGCUCACUGAACCAUUACUGACGCUGAGGUGCGAAAGCGUGGGGAGCAAACAGGAUUAGAUACCCGCGUAGUCCCUGUCUCUUAUAC
This 301-nucleotide ribosomal RNA is filed under the name uncultured bacterium. RNAcentral describes it as "partial 16S ribosomal RNA". It matches the Rfam family "Bacterial small subunit ribosomal RNA", at positions 509 to 807 of the family's 1533-position model. The record is from RNAcentral.